This 459-nucleotide ribosomal RNA is filed under the name uncultured bacterium. RNAcentral's name for it is "partial 16S ribosomal RNA". It matches the Rfam family "Bacterial small subunit ribosomal RNA", at positions 338 to 795 of the family's 1533-position model. The record is from RNAcentral.
CCUACGGGUGGCAGCAGUGAGGAAUAUUGGUCAAUGGCCGCAGGGCUGAACCAGCCAAGUCGCGUGAGGGAUGACGGUCCUAUGGAUCGUAAACCUCUUUUGUCAGGGAGCAAAGGCCGCCACGUGUGGCCCUUUGCGAGUACCUGAAGAAAAAGCAUCGGCUAACUCCGUGCCAGCAGCCGCGGUAAUACGGAGGAUGCGAGCGUUAUCCGGAUUUAUUGGGUUUAAAGGGUGCGCAGGCGGAAUGUCAAGUCAGCGGUAAAAUCUCGGGGCUCAACCCCGUCGUGCCGUUGAAACUGGCGUUCUUGAGUGAGCGAGAAGUAUGCGGAAUGCGUGGUGUAGCGGUGAAAUGCAUAGAUAUCGCGCAGAACUCCGAUUGCGAAGGCAGCAUACCGGCGCUCAACUGACGCUCAUGCACGAAAGCGUGGGUAUCGAACAGGAUUAGAUACCCUUGUAGUC